GUUUUGCGUAGGACGGUUAACGUAUAAAACCGAUUGCGAAGUUUAGCUCUUCGGUUUUGUUCAGCUGCUCAAAAUGACACUAUUAAAGUGUCAGCAUUGUGUUAGAGAGGAUAAAGCAGCAGAGGACACAGAUCAUGUGGAGAAAAUCUUGCCACCCGGCUACAGUCAUCUACUUUGUCAUUAUGAACUGCUGGAAAUGUCGGGGGAUAUUGAAAACUUCAGAGCAGCUCUUAAAUUGCAGAUGACUACUGAGGAGCAGGUCCAGAAGUGGUUGGAGGACUUCCAGAAGUCCUCAGCUUUAACAUGGAGGAAAUCCAGGACAUACCCUGACUCUGGACGCUACAACAAAUACAGAGUGGAUCUGAGAUGCCAGCACAAAACAUACAGUUCAUCAUCCAAAACGACCAAAAAUACCAACUGCCCUGCCACCAUGUUUCUGAUUCUCAAGAGAUUUAUGUAUGAAAGAAAGUCCAGAUCAGGAGACCCACACCUUGAAGAGGGCUAUUUCCUUCAUGUGAACUUGAGGAAUGAACAUAAUCAUAGACUGAACACAGCUGAGGCCAUGAGGUGGAGAGAUGUGUCGAAUGACACCAUUGAAAAGUUACAACAGCUCUACAAAAGCGGUCACUCUCCUUCAUCUGCACUCAAGAAUAUUAAAUACAGCCUGCAGGAAGAGGAAGGCGAUAACUACAUUUAUGCUACUGCGGACCGAUCCAUCUGCCCAGACCUUCAGUUCUGCUACAGGUCAGUCAAACUAGUUCAAAACACGUGUUUCAAACUCGUGUGUAAAUCUU
This 794-nucleotide long non-coding RNA is filed under the name Sinocyclocheilus anshuiensis. RNAcentral's name for it is "lncRNA (ENSSANG00000014420.1)". Lineage: Eukaryota; Metazoa; Chordata; Actinopteri; Cypriniformes; Cyprinidae. The record is from RNAcentral.